Pristis pectinata (smalltooth sawfish) is the source of this 1132-nucleotide long non-coding RNA. RefSeq lists it as uncharacterized. Lineage: Eukaryota; Metazoa; Chordata; Chondrichthyes; Rhinopristiformes; Pristidae. The transcript has 3 exons. The record is from RefSeq and is a predicted model, not a curated record.
AUUUUUAAAUACCAUUGUCACCUCCUUUGAUUUCUAAAAAAAAAAUCAAUAAUGAAAUCUAUGGAGAGUUUGUAAUAAUGCUGUUGAAUGGAAGACUGAACAUUUUAUUUUCUCCAGUAAUGGAUUUUUACAUCUAUACUGUGCGAGCAAAGGUUCCUGUCUUUUAUAAAAGUAUCUAGCUGUCAAGAAUAUUUGAAAUGAGCAAAAUGUCUCUGCAACAUUUUGCUUUACAUGCGACAAACAAGCAUUUUCCAGUAGAAUUUACUAGACUAGCAUUGGGAGCAGAAAUUCCAGAUCACUUUCUUCCUCUCCAGGACAAUGCUGCAUUCAAUUAACGGUUACAUCUUGAUUAAGGUGGUCAAGAACUGUAGUCUCAGGACAAGGCUAAGACUGCAACAGCCAACUAACAUGUCAAGGGAAAGAAAUGGAGCCAAAGAAAACAUCUUAGAUUUAGUCAAAAGGAAAACUGGAUUCAGCAACAAACUUUGGGCAUGGGUUUCCCCAGUCAGACACAACCAUCUGGACAAAAUCUGGGAGAAAGUGUGCAAAUGUAUGGAGUUAAGUGGAUGGAAAGUCUGUAUAGAUCAUCUAUUACUGAAGAAAGAUUUCCAAGAUAUGUAAAGUUAUGUGGGAUAGAAGAUGUGCUGAAAAAGGACAUCACAGGUAAAUAUGAGGAAGCAACUUGAGAUAAUGCAACUGACAGUCUAAACAAGAUAAUACUGGUGAAUUUUGGAUCAUGUGUCAAUAUCUCGAGAAGACAGAAAAGCUACACUAGCCACACCAGUGACACGCAGAAUGUCCCACAGAGUCAGAGGAUCCAUAAAGCAGCUGGACUUGUAAAUUUUGUAAAUAUGUAUAGAGAUACACAUGGAGUUGAAUAUAACAUUUUUCUUUUUUUCAUUUCUAACAAUAAAAGAGAAGCAGUAGGUCAAUUUGUUGAUGAUAUCAUUAAUAAUGCCUCUGCUAAAUGGCUGUAUUUGUGGCAGCUAGCUGUUAGAAGGAGACAUCAAAUAAACUGCCACACCUCAUUUAAAGUCCUGAAUCUGGGAUAUUUCCUACAGCACAUCUUGCUAAGAUCUCACCAGGAAUCAGCUGUAAUAGAACCAAACCCAUCCAAUUCCCUCUACCAGUA